This is a long non-coding RNA of Sphaerodactylus townsendi, 308 nucleotides long. RefSeq lists it as uncharacterized. Lineage: Eukaryota; Metazoa; Chordata; Lepidosauria; Squamata; Sphaerodactylidae. The record is from RefSeq and is a predicted model, not a curated record. The transcript is spliced from 4 exons.
UGGCUCGGGCAGGCAUGGCCAAAAUGAAGGGGAUGGACAGUGGUCUGGACAUGGGGGGUGAAAGGUUUGGAGAAACAGCAGAGGAAUUUUGAUGACACGAAGCUGAAAGCAGGGCAACGUGUCACCGUCUACAGAUGGGCACUAAUAAAUGUGCCAGUCAGUCAGGGAUGACAGCCUAUGGCGCCAGGCAGCACCUGUAUGACCCCAAGAACCAGAUCCUACCACCAACGGACCACUCCACCCUCACUCUGCAGAUGGGCACUUUCAAAUGUGCCCGUCAAGUUAGAAUGGAACAUCUUGCCUUUUGA